AUGGGGAUGUACGCUGCGCUCCGCACUGCGCAGUGGGUGCUGGGCAAGGCGCUAGCCCCCGUUGCCGAUGGCGUGCUAGGGGCUUGGGCAGCAACCAAGAACUUUGGUCCCAACGUCGAGGCCCUCAGCACUGAACUACUGCUCGUGAAGGCCGCGCUUGAGCAGGCUGCCCACAAGGAGCUCGGAGGCCCGGCAAUGGAGAUGCUGCUUCAGAAGUUGCUGGACUCGGCACACAAUGCCGAAGACUUGCUGGAUGAGCUGGACUACUUCCGCAUCCACGACAGGCUCCAUGGCACGUAUGAUGCUGCCGACGAGCACGGCAAGGGUUGCACCCGUAACCUUGCCCUCAAUGCUCGCCACACUGCCAAAGCUGUUGGCAAACUGGUCAACUAUUGCGCUUGGCAUCGUGCUAAGCGCCGGCAGAGUUCACACAACAAUUCCUUGACGCCAAAUGCCAAUCAGGAGGUCAGCAGAUUCAUGCCCAAGCUCUGUAAACUCCUCCCUUGCUCAUCCUUCCCACAUCCGCAUGUUGGUGAUGACGAUCGUGGCAAUGAGCAAGAAACACCAAAGCUUGAGUUUAAUAGGGUUGGUUUCUCUCAAAGGAUGAAGGAAAUUGUAGAGAAACUGCAGCAUAUGCGCAAUGAGAUUAACAAGAUUUUGCAGGGUUGUGCCCCUAAAACUGUUCCAGACAUUGCCCAGGGUCGUCCUAUCACCAAAGGUCGAAUUGAUGAGCCAAAACUGUAUGGGAGGGACAGUGUCAUGAAGAGCAUCAUGGAUGAUAUCACCAAUGGUCAAUACUGUGACAAUGGUCUAACCGUGCUUCCGGUUGUUGGUCCGGGAGGAAUGGGGAAGACAACUCUGAUACAACACAUAUAUCACAAUGAACAAGUGCAGAAUCAUUUUCCAGUCACUAUUUGGAUAUGUGUGUCAGUCAAGUUUGAUCUGGAAAAAGUGCUAGGACAGAUUAAAACAUGUAUCCCUGCAGUUAAAGAUGAAAAAGAGGGCAGUACAACUGAAGAUUUGAUUGAGCAAAGAUUGAAAUCUAAAAGAGGGAAAGGGUUCCAUGAUUCUGGUCACAACUCGGUUUGA
Molecule: ribosomal RNA, 1089 nt
Filed under: Triticum aestivum (bread wheat)
Lineage: Eukaryota; Viridiplantae; Streptophyta; Magnoliopsida; Poales; Poaceae
Description: partial small subunit ribosomal RNA
Source: RNAcentral